UACGUAGGGGGCGAGCGUUGUCCGGAAUUAUUGGGCGUAAAGAGCUCGUAGGCGGUUUGUUGCGUCGGCCGUGAAAACCUGCAGCUUAACUGUGGGCCUGCGGCCGAUACGGGCAGACUUGAGUUCGGUAGGGGAGACUGGAAUUCCUGGUGUAGCGGUGAAAUGCGCAGAUAUCAGGAGGAACACCGGUGGCGAAGGCGGGUCUCUGGGCCGAUACUGACGCUGAGGAGCGAAAGCGUGGGGAGCGAACAGG
RNAcentral lists this ribosomal RNA (253 nucleotides) under uncultured bacterium. Its description in RNAcentral is "partial 16S ribosomal RNA". It matches the Rfam family "Bacterial small subunit ribosomal RNA", at positions 524 to 776 of the family's 1533-position model. The record is from RNAcentral.